This 510-nucleotide ribosomal RNA is filed under the name uncultured microorganism. RNAcentral's name for it is "bacterial SSU rRNA". It matches the Rfam family "Bacterial small subunit ribosomal RNA", at positions 9 to 502 of the family's 1533-position model. The record is from RNAcentral.
GAGUUUGAUCAUGACUCAGGAUGAACGCUGGCGGCGUGCCUAAUACAUGCAAGUCGAGCGAACGGACGAGAAGCUUGCUUCUCUGAUGUUAGCGGCGGACGGGUGAGUAACACGUGGAUAACCUACCUAUAAGACUGGGAUAACUUCGGGAAACCGGAGCUAAUACCGGAUAAUAUUUUGAACCGCAUGGUUCAAAAGUGAAAGACGGUCUUGCUGUCACUUAUAGAUGGAUCCGCGCUGCAUUAGCUAGUUGGUAAGGUAACGGCUUACCAAGGCAACGAUGCAUAGCCGACCUGAGAGGGUGAUCGGCCACACUGGAACUGAGACACGGUCCAGACUCCUACGGGAGGCAGCAGUAGGGAAUCUUCCGCAAUGGGCGAAAGCCUGACGGAGCAACGCCGCGUGAGUGAUGAAGGUCUUCGGAUCGUAAAACUCUGUUAUUAGGGAGAACAUAUGUGUAAGUAACUGUGCACAUCUUGACGGUACCUAAUCAGAAAGCCACGGCUAACU